UCGGAUAUGGUGUAACGGCUAACAUUGCCGCCUCUCAUAUGCGUGGACAAUAAAGUGCGCGGCAGCUCGGGGUUCGAUUCCCCGUAUCCGAA
Non-coding RNA from Coprinopsis sp. MPI-PUGE-AT-0042, 92 nucleotides. NCBI's taxonomy places the organism in Eukaryota, Fungi, Basidiomycota, Agaricomycetes, Agaricales, Psathyrellaceae. The record is from the annotation of a GenBank genome assembly.